AUCCUGGCUCAGGAUGAACGCUGGCGGCAUGCCUAAUACAUGCAAGUCGAACGAGGAUCCUUGUGGAUCCUAGUGGCGAACGGGUGAGUAACACGUAGGGAACCUGCCCGCGCACCGGGAAUACGCUCUGGAAACGGAGAACAAAUCCCGAUGUACAGGAAGGAGGCAUCUUCUUUCUGUGAAACAUCCUGUAAGGGAUGGGGCGCGGAUGGACCUGCGGUGCAUUAGUUGGUUGGCGAGGGUAAAGGCCCACCAAGACGAUGAUGCAUAGCCGGCCUGAGAGGGCGGACGGCCACAUUGGGACUGAGACACGGCCCAGACUCCUGCGGGAGGCAGCAGUAGGGAAUUUUCGUCAAUGGGCGCAAGCCUGAACGAGCGAUGCCGCGUGAGUGAAGAAGGCCUUCGGGUCGUAAAGCUCUGUUGCGGGGGAAAAAAGGCAACUACAGGAAAUGGUAGAUGACAGAUGGUGCCCCGCCAGAAAGUCACGGCUAACUACGUG
RNAcentral lists this ribosomal RNA (499 nucleotides) under uncultured Erysipelotrichaceae bacterium. RNAcentral's name for it is "bacterial SSU rRNA". It matches the Rfam family "Bacterial small subunit ribosomal RNA", at positions 16 to 507 of the family's 1533-position model. The record is from RNAcentral. Lineage: Bacteria; Bacillati; Bacillota; Erysipelotrichia; Erysipelotrichales; Erysipelotrichaceae.